This 119-nucleotide ribosomal RNA is filed under the name Pteropus alecto (black flying fox). The record is from RNAcentral. Lineage: Eukaryota; Metazoa; Chordata; Mammalia; Chiroptera; Pteropodidae.
GUCUACGGCCAUGCUAACCAGAACGAGCCCGAUCCCGUCUGAUCUCGGAAGCUGAGCAGGGUCAGGCCUGGUUAGUACUUGGAUGGGAGACCACCUAGGAAGACCAGGUGCUGUGUAGG